Molecule: transfer RNA, 94 nt
Filed under: Irpex rosettiformis
Lineage: Eukaryota; Fungi; Basidiomycota; Agaricomycetes; Polyporales; Irpicaceae
Description: tRNA-Leu
Rfam family: tRNA
About the family: Transfer RNA (tRNA) molecules are approximately 80 nucleotides in length. Their secondary structure includes four short double-helical elements and three loops (D, anti-codon, and T loops). Further hydrogen bonds mediate the characteristic L-shaped molecular structure. tRNAs have two regions of fundamental functional importance: the anti-codon, which is responsible for specific mRNA codon recognition, and the 3' end, to which the tRNAs corresponding amino acid is attached (by aminoacyl-tRNA synthetases). tRNAs cope with the degeneracy of the genetic code in two manners: having more than one tRNA (with a specific anti-codon) for a particular amino acid; and 'wobble' base-pairing, i.e. permitting non-standard base-pairing at the 3rd anti-codon position.
Source: RNAcentral
GGUGAGAUGGCCGAGCGGUCUAAGGCGCCAGACUAAGGCAGUUGCCUAUGUAAUCUGGUCCGAAAGGGCGUGGGUUCGAAUCCCACUCUCAUCA